This 415-nucleotide ribosomal RNA is filed under the name uncultured prokaryote. Its description in RNAcentral is "bacterial SSU rRNA". It matches the Rfam family "Bacterial small subunit ribosomal RNA", at positions 505 to 918 of the family's 1533-position model. The record is from RNAcentral.
GUGUCAGCCGCCGCGGUAAUACGAACUGCGCAAACGUUAUUCGGAAUCACUGGGCUUAAAGGGUGCGUAGGCGGCUAUGAAGGUCAGAUGUGAAAUCCCACGGCUCAACCGUGGAACUGCGUUUGAAACCACAUGGCUUGAGGAAGACAGAGGUGAGCGGAACUGAUGGUGGAGCGGUGAAAUGCGUUGAUAUCAUCAGGAACACCGGUGGCGAAAGCGGCUCACUGGGUCUUUUCUGACGCUGAGGCACGAAAGCUAGGGGAGCGAACGGGAUUAGAUACCCCGGUAGUCCUAGCUGUAAACGAUGAGCACUAGUCUGAGGGGACUCCCACAUCCUCUCGGACGUAGCGAAAGUGUCAAGUGCUCCGCCUGGGGAGUAUGGUCGCAAGGCUGAAACUUAAAUGAAUUGGCGGGG